This 253-nucleotide ribosomal RNA is filed under the name uncultured bacterium. RNAcentral describes it as "partial 16S ribosomal RNA". It matches the Rfam family "Bacterial small subunit ribosomal RNA", at positions 524 to 776 of the family's 1533-position model. RNAcentral also lists the same sequence under 1 other name. The record is from RNAcentral.
UACGAAGGGGGCAAGCGUUGUUCGGAAUGACUGGGCGUAAAGGGCGCGUAGGCGGUGCGUUGCGUCAGAUGUGAAAUCCCCGGGCUCAACCUGGGAAUGGCAUUUGAUACGGGCGUACUGGAAUCCGUGAGAGGUUGGUGGAAUUCCCAGUGUAGAGGUGAAAUUCGUAGAUAUUGGGAAGAACACCAGUGGCGAAGGCGGCCAACUGGCACGGUAUUGACGCUGAGGCGCGAAAGCGUGGGGAGCAAACAGG